GCCUUUUAAGUGAUUCUUUUGCUAUUUUAACCUGUGGAGGUUCAUUGUACGUCUGUUUUUUCAAGUUUGGCAUGUGUUUUAACACAUGUGAAGGUGUAGUCUUUUCUUCUUCAGCGGAUAUAUGUACAAGACCCCGUUCACCGUCUAUCAGGUCACAAAGCUGCACCCAGGUAGAGGCAGAUUCCAAAAAUGCUUGUGUACUUAAGUAUAGCUGCACAUUACAGAAUCCGAGGCCCUCAACAAUCAUCCGUAGCCCUCUUGUAGCCCACGAGUUCCUUAUAUUUUAUUAGGAUUGAAGAGCAACGUUUGUGCUAUAUCCCUCUAUUUCAGACGAAAUAAUGUGCAUGCAAAAUUAUAUCUUCAUUACUUUACACCAUAGUACCAAUAUCUGUCGUGCGUUGAUUUUUGAUGUCUUUGCAUUUGCUAUAGCAAGGAUUUUUAAACAUCAGCCACAAAAGAAAAAAUAAAUGGUCAAAGAACCAAGAAAUGGUGUGUAGCAGCUCCCUUCUUUUUUUAAUUGGCGGCAAGUUUUGCACUCGUGUACUUCAAAAGAAGUGUUACCUUCCUGCUUUGGAACUUUGUGGUUUUGUUCUGCCAGCUGCUUGACCAAAACAAGCAAAAUGUACUUCGGAUAUUCCACAAUUCUGUAUGCAUUUGGUACAAUAAAAUUUGUUUCAAGAAUGGACAAA
This is a non-coding RNA of Dermacentor albipictus, 689 nucleotides long. NCBI's taxonomy places the organism in Eukaryota, Metazoa, Arthropoda, Arachnida, Ixodida, Ixodidae. The record is from RefSeq and is a predicted model, not a curated record.